GACGAACGCUGGCGGCGUGCUUAACACAUGCAAGUCGAACGGAAAGGCCCUUCUUUUGUGGGGUGCUCGAGUGGCGAACGGGUGCUUAACACGUGAGUAACCUGCCCUUGACUUUGGGAUAACUUCACGAAACUGGGGCUAAUACCGGAUCGGAGCUCCUGCUGCAUGGUGGGGGUUGGAAAGUUUCGGCGGUUGGGGAUGGACUCGCGGCUUAUCAGCUUGUUGGUGGGGUAGUGGCUUACCAAGGCUUUGACGGGUAGCCGGCCUGAGAGGGUGACCGGCCACAUUGGGACUGAGAGACGGCCCAGACUCCUACGGGAGGCAGCAGUGGGGAAUAUUGCACAAUGGGCGGAAGCCUGAUGCAGCAACGCCGCGUGCGGGAUGACGGCCUUCGGGUUGUAAACCGCUUUCGCCUGUGACGAAGCAUGAGUGACGGUAAUGGGUAAAGAAGCACCGGCUAACUACGUG
RNAcentral lists this ribosomal RNA (468 nucleotides) under uncultured bacterium. RNAcentral describes it as "partial 16S ribosomal RNA". It matches the Rfam family "Bacterial small subunit ribosomal RNA", at positions 28 to 507 of the family's 1533-position model. The record is from RNAcentral.